UGGUAGUCCACGCCGUAAACGAUGUCUACUUGGAGGUUGUGGCCUUGAGCCGUGGCUUUCGGAGCUAACGCGUUAAGUAGACCGCCUGGGGAGUACGGUCGCAAGAUUAAAACUCAAAUGAAUUGACGGGGGCCCGCACAAGCGGUGGAGCAUGUGGUUUAAUUCGAUGCAACGCGAAGAACCUUACCUACUCUUGACAUCCAGAGAACUUAGCAGAGAUGCUUUGGUGCCUUCGGGAACUCUGAGACAGGUGCUGCAUGGCUGUCGUCAGCUCGUGUUGUGAAAUGUUGGGUUAAGUCCCGCAACGAGCGCAACCCUUAUCCUUGUUUGCCAGCGAGUAAUGUCGGGAACUCCAGGGAGACUGCCGGUGAUAAACCGGAGGAAGGUGGGGACGACGUCAAGUCAUCAUGGCCCUUACGAGUAGGGCUACACACGUGCUACAAUGGCGCAUACAGAGGGCGGCCAACUUGCGAAAGUGAGCGAAUCCCAAAAAGUGCGUCGUAGUCCGGAUUGGAGUCUGCAACUCGACUCCAUGAAGUCGGAAUCGCUAGUAAUCGUGAAUCAGAAUGUCACGGUGAAUACGUUCCCGGGCCUUGUACACACCGCCCGUCACACCAUGGGAGUGGGCUGCAAAAGAAGC
Molecule: ribosomal RNA, 640 nt
Filed under: Vibrio fluvialis
Lineage: Bacteria; Pseudomonadati; Pseudomonadota; Gammaproteobacteria; Vibrionales; Vibrionaceae
Description: bacterial SSU rRNA
Rfam family: Bacterial small subunit ribosomal RNA
Source: RNAcentral